This 73-nucleotide transfer RNA is filed under the name Phycisphaerae bacterium. RNAcentral describes it as "tRNA-Phe". It matches the Rfam family "tRNA". From Rfam's summary of the family: Transfer RNA (tRNA) molecules are approximately 80 nucleotides in length. Their secondary structure includes four short double-helical elements and three loops (D, anti-codon, and T loops). Further hydrogen bonds mediate the characteristic L-shaped molecular structure. tRNAs have two regions of fundamental functional importance: the anti-codon, which is responsible for specific mRNA codon recognition, and the 3' end, to which the tRNAs corresponding amino acid is attached (by aminoacyl-tRNA synthetases). tRNAs cope with the degeneracy of the genetic code in two manners: having more than one tRNA (with a specific anti-codon) for a particular amino acid; and 'wobble' base-pairing, i.e. permitting non-standard base-pairing at the 3rd anti-codon position. The record is from RNAcentral. Lineage: Bacteria; Pseudomonadati; Planctomycetota; Phycisphaerae.
GCUUAAGUAGCUCAGUUGGUAGAGCAUAAGACUGAAAAUCUUUGUGUCACUGGUUCAAAUCCAGUCUUAGGCA